Long non-coding RNA from Talpa occidentalis (Iberian mole), 1401 nucleotides. RefSeq lists it as uncharacterized. NCBI's taxonomy places the organism in Eukaryota, Metazoa, Chordata, Mammalia, Eulipotyphla, Talpidae. The transcript is spliced from 3 exons. The record is from RefSeq and is a predicted model, not a curated record.
GCCACUCUGCCGCCCCGCCCUGGCGGAGGUCCUAGCCCAGGGUCAGCAGGCUCUUCUGGAAGGCCAGCGAGGGGUGCCGGCCUGCGUUUCCAGGGCGGACGCUCUCCCGGGCAGGGGGCAAUGAGGGCUCCUGGGCCCACUUAGGAGCCACGCUCUAGUGGGGGCCACCCCGGGGCUAGCACCAGGCUCGGGCUAGCAGGCCGCCACAUCUGCUCCUCGCAGCAACCCCCAGGGGGCACGGGGCCCCCAAUUUAGAGAAGACAGGGCCAAAGCAGAAACGAGGGGUUUGAGUCAGCCACAAAAACAGGACAAGGAAACAUGGCUUCCCUGACACCAAGCCCAGUGGGCCCAGAGUUUCUGCUUUGCUGUUUGACAGGAAUUGGAGGCGUCUCAGGGGUGGCCCCCCCAUCUCUGGGGUCCACUCUAUCUGCCAGAUUUUGCUUCAGGAAACGGGGGGUGAGGGAGCAUAGAUUUGAAGCAUCUCAAAUCCCCACACAAGAGCAGAGCCAGUGGAAAGCAGAGCCAAACCCGGACUCCUGAGAGCAAACCCUGACACUGGGGCGAACCCGCGAGGGACGUGGUUUCAGGAGGCCUGGGCUCAGGCUGCCUGGCCACAGCGGUUCUCAGGCUAAGUGGCUUCCUCUGGGGCAGGACCCACGGAGGCAGGAUCGGCGCUGAGAUCCCAGAUAAGAGGCAAGUGGAGACAGAAGCAGAAAAGCAGCGCUGGCCCUUGACUGGGCUACAAAGCACACCAGAGACACAACUGAGCCCAAGACAAGACGAGAUGACCCGUCCUGGAUGCUUCCAGAGAGCGGAGAGACGUUAAGGAUACCAGUGAUGGGAGCGCAAACGCCCUGAGGGAGGCAGGAGGGGCCACGACGUCAGGAGACGAGUCCGGAAGCGCAGGUGACAGCUGUCAGUGGCUACGGGCCUGGGGACGGGUCAGGGAGAAACGAGGUGCUUUCAAAAACGAAAAAGAAAUAAGUGACAAAAAAACGAAAAAUGCUGACUUGGGCAAAGAAGAUCCAACAUAUGGAAAAGAAGUCCUCGAAGAAGAAAAACAAAAAGUGAAAGCAGAACAGUACAAAAGCCUGCAAUUCAAGAAAAUGCUCCUGAAAUUCAGAACAUGUGAACGCCGGCGUCGAAAGGGCACACACACCACACACCUGGCGGCGUCAUCAGAACGGCCCGCUGAGAUGCGAUCGUUUUUAAAAACUGGACUUAAAAGGGCAAUAAAAGAUUCUUUGUCCCACUGGGAAAAGGGUACUUAACAAGGUGAGAAAACUGGCGCACGGCAUACUCUGCGACAGCAAGGCUUUGUGCCGGAAACACGUGGCAACAUAUUUAAAAUAACCAAAGAGAGAAAUUCUGAGCCAAGGAUUUUCUAUUCAUGGAUUUGAU